ACUGGACUUUCUCGUGGGGGCGGGGGUGGUGGAUGGGAGUGGUUAGGAACAGUAAAGUGGGGUGUGUGUGUGUCUGUGUGUACGUGUGUGUCUGUCUGUCUGUGUGUAAGACAGACAGAAACAGAGGGGGGGUGGAGAAGGGUGGGAGGGAUCUUUUUGGCCCCCUUUGCGUCUUGGUUUCUUCAUACGCUUCCGAACAUCUCAAACUAGCCAAGACCACUGCCCGCCUAGACUCCUUGUAGAGUCUGAGAAAAUUUGGCCUCGUUUUCCUGGGGCUGGGGAAUGAGCUCCGGAGGUCAAUAAAGCCCUCCAAAAAUGAUGAAUGAUUGAGCACCUGUGAUGAUGAUAGUGAUUACCAGAGCAAUUAAACAGUUUGAUUAAAUGAGCCAUCAUAACAAUGAUGUCUGCGGGAAAUCGGCCCUCACAUAUAAAGACAGUGUGGAGGGGCUGGCAGAGGCGCGGAGAGCGCGCCGGGAGAGGGGAUGCGACCCGUGCGGGUUUGGCUCCAGUAGCCAAACCAGGGGCGGCGAGCUCAGGGAGCUUCUGGAGGCAGUCUAGCCUAGGGUUUCUGUCUCUCUUUCUGCCUGGCUUCAAGCCUUAGACAACCGACCCGUCUGGAACACGAUGGACCAUAGGGUCCUUUCCCCCUCUCCUCCCUCCCCCCUUUUUCCUCUCUAGAAGAACUCCAAGAUUACAAAUAUCCACUUCAUUUGAUGCUGAGUUACUCGCCGACACAUAAGAAAAGGUUUUCUGUUCCUAUCCGCACUACUUUCCUUUGGAUUCUAAAGGAGGUCUUUAUUACAGUUUCCAGUGCAGACAGCGGACCCCGCACCCGCCAGCACCUUAGUCCUUGCAACUAGAAGCCAAUCCGGCCACCCAUAUCUCGCAGGCUUUCCGGUCCUGAUCCAGCGUGGUUCACUCCCAUCUUCUCCCUCUGAUGAGCACCUUGUGGGUGUUAAAUGUGUUGACGGUCUCCACGGGCGGUGUUUUGAAGGGGCUUAAAACUACAAUUGAGAAGUUUGCUGGAAAGAAACAAGACACUGAGAUUCCCAGUUAGCACAGCCUGGCUAAGUUUGAGGCCUGAAGGCCGGGUCGCCCGGUGUGAAUGGAAGGAGUCUUCUCCGGGAAUGGGACAGAAAGGCAGGGCACCAAACCUUUGCCAGAGGAAUGUGAGUGACUUCGGUGGAACACGUGCUCUCAGAACCCCACGAGAAAGCUUUCCAAGGGAUCGCCUCAGUCUGCAGACCUGCGCCCAAGGCGCCUGCCCAUUUUCUCCUUCUCAAUUAACCCGAGCUAUUCCCAGCAUCCCCACUAAAACAUUCACAAUCUGGAAAGAAGUGUCAAAGUGGGAGUAGGAAAGACCCCUGGAAAACCCACAGAGAGGAGCCAGACAACAUACACCGCCGCCGAGCAAGCCAGUGGUGCUAAACCCGAGUCGCAUGCUUCUUCCGGUAACCUAUAGACACUCCGCGGUGUGAGCAGAGGUUAGAUGAGACCGAGACCAGACAGAUGACUAGACCUGCCAGGCGCCUCAUCACAGAGCUGCUAUAUUCACUUAGAUUCUUUAUUUUUUCCCCUCUCCCUCUCCCUUGCCUGUCUUUCCUUCCCUUCUUUCUGUUUCCCUCAUCCUCCCUCUCACCCUUUCCUCCCCCCUUUUCCCUCACCCUCAGCCCGAGAAACCUCCAAUCUUUGCUUUAAGCAAAUGUCUUUCACUUACUCCUCUAAUACGAGGCCGGAGGUGAGUUAUGACUGCGUUUCCUAAGAGCCAGCUAUUGCUUUGAAGGAGAAAUGAUGCCACAUCCCCUAAGUAGUCACUACAGGUGUUAGAAACUUUGCCCUCUGAAUGUUCUGAACCAAAGAGUCUCAAAUCUGGGCCCCUCUCUAUGAAAAUGGCAAAAUCGAAUGGAAAAAAGCGGGAAGGGUGAGGAAUUUCUCCCACUCCCCACUGCUGAGGGAGACAGGCGUAGUUUGGUUGUAAUUAAUUGAAGAUUCUUAUUAGGUCAUCAUUAGUCAAUGUGCAAAUAAUUGCUGCCCAUUUUUACUUAAAAUUGACCAGCCUGAGCGUGAUAGAUCGAUUCAGAGGAUAAAAAUGAUGUAUCAAAACAUCAAUGUCGAUUAUUUGAAAUAUUGUAGUCGAAUUUUUUUUAUUGCUUCAUCGGUUAAGUGUCUGAAAGUGCGGUGUUCAAACAUAUAUUUAUGUUGUCAAUACUGUCAGAACUGUCAGUUUUACUAUACCGGAUUUGUACUACAUUUCAAAUUUGCUCAUUUGCAUAAAAUGCCCACCCUAGGAUUCCCCCCCACUCCCACCCCAUCUCUGGAAAAUCCCUGUCAGUUUCUUCAAAGGAUUCUGCAAUCUUUGCCUAAGCUAAAGUGGGCACUGCUUCUUUUACUCAAAUUCCCAGGGCCGAUUACAUGUCUUUUUCGCCAUUUCUAACUUUGGAAGAGGCACUCCCUCCUUUUUGCCCAACUAUGCCUAGCAUAACCUUUUGUCCAAGACAGCACUAGAGCAAUGCAAACACACAUUCUAGCUACAAAAUACAGCACUUGGGUAGGAAAAAUGGAUAAAACAGAUUCCACCCGACUUUCUUGGCCACCCUCAGAUAAACCCAGACGCCACCAAGCCUGGACGUCAGGGCCCGCUAUCAAAUUACCUGAAAGAUUGAAGUCUUCCAAGAAAAAUACAUGUAGGUGUAAAAAUACCUUUUCUUUCUUUCUUUACUUAAAAGCUGCGAUGGUAGGAGAGGAAAUAACACACAUAAGUGAUCUGCGCGUUUUACCUUUAAAAGCUUUUGAACCCCAUCGAAAGACACAGGUUGCAAGCAGAACUGACAGUUUUAAUUCUACCCAUUUUCCCGUAGCACGUCAGAUCAGAGGCACUCAUUUAUUUUAUGGGGUGGGGCAUUAGAAAAGCAGACAGGGUGAAUUCGAUUAUCUCCAUCCUAAAAAUCCCAGGGAAAUUAAACUCCCUUAUUGAAACGCAAACAUUCCAUUGCUCUGUACAAUUAGUCUAGACUAAUUGAAAUUUAUAAAUUCACAUUCUGCCUAAUCUUAUGCUUUUCAUCCCAUCAGCCCCCCCCCCCAGGAUUCCAGCUAAGUCUGGUAGGUAAGGAUGUGAUGUUGUUUUAGUAAGCCUAAAGCACUUUCAUUAUCCUUUUAAUGGGUUUAAAUAGGUCUGUUUGGACAUUCAAAGAAGCUACACAUACAAAGAUAGGUUGGCUCCGUGCCGUCAAUCCCAGCACUAAAAACUAUAAAAAACAAAACAAAACACAAAAAAACCUGAGCGUUCCUAUAUCCAUCCUUGCUUCGAACAAAUAAGUAAGUAAAUAAAGUGCAAGGCAAAAGAAAGUUUGUUGCCUGCAUCUGUAGGUCGUGGUGCGCGCGUGUAUAAACAUCUUGGAGUCAGUGUUGGUUGGUUACCUCCCCCGCCCCCGCACCCCAGGCAAGGGCGUAGAGAAAUCGCCUCCCCCCCGCCCCAAGAGUCGUGUUUACUUUUUUUUUUUUAAAUCUCUCGGCUAUGUAUGACAAGCGUUGCUUGAAGAAAUUCAUCGGCCUUCCCCAGAUACUUCCAGGUUUGCCGUAAUGAUCUGCAGAAGAGACCUGCCACCACUUUCUCACGUCCCAAGGUGUUGGCGGAACUCGGAGCGAGGGGAGAGUGACUGCAAUGCUUAAUUGCAGAGGGGAGGGCGGGGUGCCUCCUGGGAUCCGGGGCGGGGGUUGGGGAGAUAAGCCACAACCCAGGAAGGAUCUUUCAGGACGUUCAAGUCGCCAGUUGGAGAAUAUUUGGGCAAGGUAUGAUUGUCUUGUCCCCCUCCCCCAUCCCAAUGCCUUUGGGGAGAAGCGAUACCCUUGUGUAACAAUUAGCUCAGACAAUAAAAAUAAUUGGAAAAUCA
Molecule: long non-coding RNA, 3890 nt
Organism: Mesocricetus auratus (golden hamster)
Lineage: Eukaryota; Metazoa; Chordata; Mammalia; Rodentia; Cricetidae
Exons: 3
Source: RefSeq, a predicted model, not a curated record